Molecule: long non-coding RNA, 343 nt
Filed under: Homo sapiens (human)
Lineage: Eukaryota; Metazoa; Chordata; Mammalia; Primates; Hominidae
Description: long intergenic non-protein coding RNA 2354
Source: RNAcentral
CCCUGAGAAGGUCUUGGCCUGAAGACACUCACCUCUCUUUCCCCAGGAGUGUCUUUUAGGAAGACAGACAAAUAGCCAGCAGUUCCACAGCGACUCAGGGGACUGCCAGGGUUCAAAUCCUGCUCCUGCUAGAUGCCACUUCUGCUGCUCUUCAUUGCUGCCCUAGACAAGGCCAGGCCCUGCGGCGUGCUGCGAGCCUUCCUUCCGUUAUCUUUACCAGCUCUACAUGGUCAUUCACAGAUGAGAAAGCUGAAGAUCAGAGAGCUCACACAUUUCCCACAAGGUUACACAGUCAGUAAGAGACACUAUCAGGAUUCCAAUGACCUGCUGUUAAAGUUCAUCU